RNAcentral lists this ribosomal RNA (1372 nucleotides) under uncultured bacterium. Its description in RNAcentral is "bacterial SSU rRNA". It matches the Rfam family "Bacterial small subunit ribosomal RNA", at positions 28 to 1381 of the family's 1533-position model. The record is from RNAcentral.
GAUGAACGCUGGCGGCGUGCCUAAUACAUGCAAGUCGAGCGAACGGACGAGAAGCUUGCUUCUCUGAUGUUAGCGGCGGAUGGGUGAGUAACACGUGGAUAACCUACCUAUAAGACUGGGAUAACUUCGGGAAACCGGAGCUAAUACCGGAUAGUAUUUUGAACCGCAUGGUUCAAAAGUGAAAGACGGUCUUGCUGUCACUUAUAGAUGGAUCCGCGCUGCAUUAGCUAGUUGGUAAGGUAACGGCUUACCAAGGCAACGAUGCAUAGCCGACCUGAGAGGGUGAUCGGCCACACUGGAACUGAGACACGGUCCAGACUCCUACGGGAGGCAGCAGUAGGGAAUCUUCCGCAAUGGGCGAAAGCCUGACGGAGCAACGCCGCGUGAGUGAUGAAGGUCUUCGGAUCGUAAAACUCUGUUAUUAGGGAAGAACAUAUGUGUAAGUAACUGUGCACAUCUUGACGGUACCUAAUCAGAAAGCCACGGCUAACUACGUGCCAGCAGCCGCGGUAAUACGUAGGUGGCAAGCGUUAUCCGGAAUUAUUGGGCGUAAAGCGCGCGUAGGCGGUUUUUUAAGUCUGAUGUGAAAGCCCACGGCUCAACCGUGGAGGGUCAUUGGAAACUGGAAAACUUGAGUGCAGAAGAGGAAAGUGGAAUUCCAUGUGUAGCGGUGAAAUGCGCAGAGAUAUGGAGGAACACCAGUGGCGAAGGCGACUUUCUGGUCUGUAACUGACGCUGAUGUGCGAAAGCGUGGGGAUCAAACAGGAUUAGAUACCCUGGUAGUCCACGCCGUAAACGAUGAGUGCUAAGUGUUAGGGGGUUUCCGCCCCUUAGUGCUGCAGCUAACGCAUUAAGCACUCCGCCUGGGGAGUACGACCGCAAGGUUGAAACUCAAAGGAAUUGACGGGGACCCGCACAAGCGGUGGAGCAUGUGGUUUAAUUCGAAGCAACGCGAAGAACCUUACCAAAUCGUGACAUCCUUUGACAACUCUAGAGAUAGAGCCUUCCCCUUCGGGGGACAAAGUGACAGGUGGUGCAUGGUUGUCGUCAGCUCGUGUCGUGAGAUGUUGGGUUAAGUCCCGCAACGAGCGCAACCCUUAAGCUUAGUUGCCAUCAUUAAGUUGGGCACUCUAAGUUGACUGCCGGUGACAAACCGGAGGAAGGUGGGGAUGACGUCAAAUCAUCAUGCCCCUUAUGAUUUGGGCUACACACGUGCUACAAUGGACAAUACAAAGGGCAGCGAAACCGCGAGGUCAAGCAAAUCCCAUAAAGUUGUUCUCAGUUCGGAUUGUAGUCUGCAACUCGACUACAUGAAGCUGGAAUCGCUAGUAAUCGUAGAUCAGCAUGCUACGGUGAAUACGUUCCCGGGUCU